CUAGUACUCGCUGCGUCCGGAAAUAUUUGUCAUCAAAAUGAAUAAAAAAGGAUGUAUCUAGACGUAUUUUAGUUUUCAAUAUAUCUUUUUUUUCAUUUUGAUGACAAGUAUUUUUGAACCGAGGGAGUACAGU
This is a non-coding RNA of Triticum aestivum (bread wheat), 133 nucleotides long. Lineage: Eukaryota; Viridiplantae; Streptophyta; Magnoliopsida; Poales; Poaceae. The record is from Rfam.